GACGAACGCUGGCGGCGUGCUUAACACAUGCAAGUCGAACGAUGAAGCCGGAGCUUGCUCUGGUGAAUUAGUGGCGAACGGGUGAGUAACACGUGAGUAACCUGCCCUUGACUCUGGGAUAACUGCUAGAAAUGGUAGCUAAUACCGGAUACGACCCUCGGAGGCAUCUUCAGGGGGUGGAAAGAAUUUCGGUCAAGGAUGGACUCGCGGCCUAUCAGCUAGUUGGUGAGGUAAUGGCUCACCAAGGCGACGACGGGUAGCCGGCCUGAGAGGGUGACCGGCCACACUGGGACUGGGACACGGACCAGACUCCGACGGGAGGCAGCAGUGGGGAAUAGUGCACAAUGGGCGCAAGCCUGAUGCAGCAACGCCGCGUGAGGGAUGACGGCCUUCGGGUUGUAAACCUCUUUUAGUAGGGAAGAAGCGAAAGUGACGGUACCUGCGGAAAAAGCACCGGCUAACUACGUGCCAGCCGCCGCAGUAA
Molecule: ribosomal RNA, 484 nt
Filed under: uncultured bacterium
Lineage: Bacteria
Description: partial 16S ribosomal RNA
Rfam family: Bacterial small subunit ribosomal RNA
Source: RNAcentral